AGUGAACGCUGGCGGUAGGCCUAACACAUGCAAGUCGAACGGCAGCACAGUAAGAGCUUGCUCUUACGGGUGGCGAGUGGCGGACGGGUGAGGAAUACAUCGGAAUCUACUUUUUCGUGGGGGAUAACGUAGGGAAACUUACGCUAAUACCGCAUACGACCUACGGGUGAAAGCAGGGGAUCUUCGGACCUUGCGCGACUGAAUGAGCCGAUGUCGGAUUAGCUAGUUGGCGGGGUAAAGGCCCACCAAGGCGACGAUCCGUAGCUGGUCUGAGAGGAUGAUCAGCCACACUGGAACUGAGACACGGUCCAGACUCCUACGGGAGGCAGCAGUGGGGAAUAUUGGACAAUGGGCGCAAGCCUGAUCCAGCCAUGCCGCGUGGGUGAAGAAGGCCUUCGGGUUGUAAAGCCCUUUUGUUGGGAAAGAAAAGCAGCAUGUUAAUACCCCGCUGUUCUGACGGUACCCAAAGAAUAAGCACCGGCUAACUUCGUG
Molecule: ribosomal RNA, 492 nt
Filed under: uncultured bacterium
Lineage: Bacteria
Description: partial 16S ribosomal RNA
Rfam family: Bacterial small subunit ribosomal RNA
Source: RNAcentral